This 555-nucleotide ribosomal RNA is filed under the name uncultured bacterium. RNAcentral's name for it is "bacterial SSU rRNA". It matches the Rfam family "Bacterial small subunit ribosomal RNA", at positions 94 to 716 of the family's 1533-position model. The record is from RNAcentral.
ACCGGCGCACGGGUGAGUAACACGUAUCCAACCUGCCCUUUACUCGGGGAUAGCCUUUCGAAAGAAAGAUUAAUACCCGAUAUAAAGGAUGGGGAUGCGUUCCAUUAGGUUGUUGGUGAGGUCACGGCUCACCAAGCCUUCGAUGGAUAGGGGUUCUGAGAGGGAGGUCCCCCACAUUGGAACUGAGACACGGUCCAAACUCCUACGGGAGGCAGCAGUGAGGAAUAUUGGUCAAUGGGCGCUAGCCUGAACCAGCCAAGUAGCGUGAAGGAUGAAGGCUUAUGGGUCGUAAACUUCUUUUAUAUAAGAAUAUGUAUUAUAUGAAUAAGGAUCGGCUAACUCCGUGCCAGCAGCCGCGGUAAUACGGAGGAUCCGAGCGUUAUCCGGAUUUAUUGGGUUUAAAGGGAGCGUAGGUGGACUGGUAAGUCAGUUGUGGAAGUUUGCGGCUCAACCGUAAAAUUGCAGUUGAUACUGUCAGUCUUGAGUACAGUAGAGGUGGGCGGAAUUCGUGGUGUAGCGGUGAAAUGCUUAGAUAUCACGAAGAACUCCGAUUGC